Long non-coding RNA from Alexandromys fortis (reed vole), 1360 nucleotides. RefSeq lists it as uncharacterized. Lineage: Eukaryota; Metazoa; Chordata; Mammalia; Rodentia; Cricetidae. The record is from RefSeq and is a predicted model, not a curated record. The transcript has 2 exons.
CUUGAACUCAGGCUUCACAGAGUCUGGGGCUAGGAGAAGCUGAACUAAGGUGAUAGAAGCAGAAGCCGCAAUCUGGAAAGGGAGUCUGUACCAAAGGCUAGGGUGGAGGCUGUGGUAGAAGUGUCGCUAAUCUGCGUGAGAGACGCCUGUCAUCCUUUGAAGAAUGAUUGCCCUGGGAAACGGGUGGGCAGGAAACUGGGAUCCAUCAACAGCAGUCUUGACAGCUUUGGGGUGUAGGUAGCUGCUGGCAAAAACAAUUACAAUUUAGCACCAGAAUUAUGUCAUUUGUAUGCCAUGCUUUACUCGUAACUCGCACGCAUAAUCCGUUUAAGAGCUCUAACUAACAUUGUGUUGACUUGGAGGCUGAAGAUAUUUUGAUGAAGUAACAGAUGGGCAAUGUCAGGAGAGCGACAGGCUGCCUGGGCUCCAGAUCUCCUCAAGUGGACACUUAGGGAGCUCACAAGUCAGAAAGGGAUUUUUAAAAUUAUGCGACAGAAAAACUUGUAAUGAAUUUAAAAUUUUUGAACAUUUUCUAGCCAUUCCUUCUUUCCCAAAAUUUUUACAUUUUGGCUCUUUGAAAACAGGGACUCCUAAGCCUUCAGUGUUUUCUUUAUACCAACAAGCUAUGCUUUCUCAUGGCAGAGAAAGGAAACUUUAUUAGUGGGAAGAAGCAAUUUGCCAGUUUUAUAGAAUUUUCCUGUAUUGAGGGAUUUCUAGGAAAACACAAAGAAUGAGAUGCAGAAAUAGCUUAAGUGGGUUUGGGAGUGGAAAUGGGAGCUAGAGAUGAAAGGGGUGAGGGAAGGAAGAGGGGGGUCUAUAUUAAGAUAUAGGUAUGAGAUCAUGUGACCAGGGAGAAUUGCGGAUUCUACAAGGUAAGUUGACAGGCUGCAAAGUCAGAGAAAGCUAAGGUUUUAGUAGGGUAAAGCCUAUUUGUUAGCAGAAUUCUCGUUCUUGGAGAAAGCCCAUCUUGUUUUAUUUUAUUUCUACUUGAAUACAAAUAUUUGUAGCAGCUAUAUUCACAAUAGUCCCAAGCUGAAGACAAACUAAAUUUCUAGCAACAGAUGAACAGGUUAAUAAAUUGGCCUACAACAGACUAUUCAACAAUAGAAGAUGGAAACUGUUGGUUAGUGCAACAUCAAUGCUUUUCAAAAUAAUAAUAGUGAAUGCAAAAAGACAAGGAGUCCCUACCUCAUUCCAGCUUCCAGAGAACCAAAUGAAGCCUACCCAAAGACAGAGAAUAAUCUAUAUGUUAAUCCCACUUAAAAAUACCUUCAGUAGGGGAGGGGAAAGGCAGGGAGGGGAGCAGAGAAAAAUGUAGCACUCAAUAAAAUAAAAAAAAAACAAAACAGAAUACCUUCAG